GGGAAAAGAGAUGUGAGUGAGUUCAUGUGAAAGCGUGUGCGGAUGGACACGGACCGGGUCAAAGUCUCAUUCGGUCCUCAUAUUAAUGUUUGUCUGGAUCAAAAGCUUGUGAAAGCACAGGAGAAAUGUUUUUAGAGCCGUCAGAAUAAUGUGUACUAAAUAUGGCGGGGCAAUGCUGUCCGUCAGAGGCCUGUGUUUCCUCCUCACUCUGUUUCUGGGCAGUUUCUUCGGCAGCAUCUUCAUGCUGGGUCCGGUUCUGCCGCUCAUGCUGCUCUCGCCGGCCUGGUACCGCUGGCUCACUGACCGCAUCGUGGCCACCUGGUUCACCCUACCGGUGGCGCUGCUGGAGCUGGUGUUCGGGGUGAAGGUGGUGAUCACGGGCGACGGCUUCGUUCCGGGCGAGCGCAGCGUCAUCAUCAUGAACCACCGCACGCGUCUGGACUGGAUGUUCCUGUGGUGCUGUCUGCUGCGCUGCAGCUACCUGCGUCUGGAGAAGGUCUGCCUCAAAGCGGCGCUCAAGGCCGUGCCCGGCUUCGGCUGGGCCAUGCAAGUGGCCUCCUUCAUCUUCAUCCGGCGGCGCUGGGAGGAAGACCGCGCUCACAUGGCCAACAUGCUGCAGUACUUCUGCCACAUCAAGGAGCCGCUGCAGCUGCUGCUGUUCCCCGAGGGCACCGACCUCACCGAAAACACUCGUGCCAGGAGCGACGAGUUCGCUGAGAAAAACGGUCUUCCCAAGUAUGAGUACGUUCUUCAUCCACGCACCACCGGCUUCACCUUCAUCGUCGACACGCUGCGGAAAGGUGAUAACCUGGACGCGGUGCAUGAUAUCACGGUGGCGUAUCCGCAGAACAUCCCUCAGACGGAGCGGCACCUGGUUCUGGGUCUGUUUCCGCGCGAGAUCCACUUCCACGUGCGGCGGUACUCCGCGGCGUCUCUGCCCUCGAGCGUGGAGCCGCUGCAGCGCUGGUGUCAGGAGCGCUGGCGGGAGAAAGAGCAGCGCCUGAGAGACUUCUACCGCUCCGAGCCGCGCCGCUUCCAGGAGCCCGAGGCCCGCGUGCCGCCCUGCAAGAGCGAGAGGAGAGUAACGCUGAUCAAAGCUGCCUCGCUGCUGUACUGGAGCGGCUUCAUCACGCUCUCCUGCGCCGGCCUGUGGCUCUCCACCCCCCUCCAGAUCUACUUCCUGCUGAUGGUCAUCUUCUUCCUGGGUCAGCUGCGGGUCACGGGCGGCGUGGAGCUGAUGGAGCUGGCCUGUCACCGGCGCUGGAGCGGAGCCCCGGGGAAGCAGGACUGAGAGAUGAAACUAUAAACAUUGUAAACACAGCAGUCAUCACUGUGUGAACGUGAAUGUCGUCCUUCAACUCUUUCAGGUCUUUGUGUUUCUCAUUUGUUUUGUUUUAGUAGCUCGGGUUAUCCAGUUACAGCCAUAUUUUAAAGAAUUUAAUUUUAUUUGGUGUUUAGUGGAGGCCAGAGUGAUUAGAGCGCUAGUCUCCAGCAGCUGGAAAUGCUUUUAAGUCAGUUAUUUCUAUCUUUUGCUGUAGUGUGUCAGCAGGAAUCAUCAGUGUUUGCCAUUAAUUGUAAUAAUCCAGUGAGAUUUGUCUGAUCUGACCAUCAUCAGUUCGUCUGCAGUGACAUGAAGAAACAGAACAAACUGAGACUAAAUCCAGAAGAACUGUGUCUCCGAGACGCUUCUGUUUCUUCAUGUCACUGCAGACAGACUGAUGAUGGUCAGAUCAGACAAAUAUCACUGGAUUAUUACAAUUAUUUUAAGCAAAAGAUAGAAAUAACUGACUGAUUUCCAGCUGCUGGAGACUAGCGCUCUAAUCACUCUGGCGUCCGCUGUGUGUGUGUUUUAUAGUUACGGAACGCAGCCAUAGCACAUUAGCUUCGAGCGCUCGUGAAAAAGGAAAAGCCCGGUGUCUUGAAGCGCAUCAGGAGCGUGUCGUGUGUUUUCUGCAUGCAUGGCUGCAGGUGAUGCGACAGAAGAACGCAGAAGGUUUCUUCAGCUGGAAUCAACUCAUGUGACGUUCUCAGACAAUCCUCGUGUAAAUCAGGACUGAGUUACCCGUAUAAAACCUGACCGGCCCCUGGCCUCUGACCUCUGACCCCUGGUGUCCUGUGUGCGCUGUGCUCCUGGUUCUGUGGUGAUGGAGGAAGACCGGCUCACUGUGAUGGAGAUCUGUGUCUGUGUUCCUCGUCAUGUUCGUGUCACGAUCACUCAGCAUGUCGACGGUCACGUCUCUGGAGGCAGGAGGACAGCAGGGCAGCUCUGCGUCGGCGCGCUCCAGCUGAACCGUGACGCUGUGGACGCCGGCGCGCUGGAACAGCUUCUGGAUCUGCGUCUGAAGAGCCGGAUCCUGCAGGUCAGCGCACACUUUGACGUGCAGCGAAGCCACGUUCCGUCCUUUAGCUAACUCCCAGACGUGAGCCUCGUGAACGCUCGCCACGCCGGGGAGUUUGCACACGCUCUCCACUGAGACAGAGACACACAGCAUCAGCACCGCGACACGCCAACAACAGAAACCUUACAGAGAUUCCCUUCAGCCCUCGGUGGAAAAAAUGAACUUCCGAUGUUGAAAAUUACAAGUUAAACUACAAGAAAAUAUAGUUUAAAUUCACAUUUAAUUCAGUGCGUUACUUGCUGUUUCUUUGUCCUUUAACUUAGUGAAAUUUACUAGUAGCUGACUGAAAUCUCUAAAAAAGAUGUCCUA
Molecule: RNA transcript, 2708 nt
Organism: Onychostoma macrolepis
Lineage: Eukaryota; Metazoa; Chordata; Actinopteri; Cypriniformes; Cyprinidae
Gene: lclat1
Gene name: lysocardiolipin acyltransferase 1
Exons: 7
Source: RefSeq, a predicted model, not a curated record